RNAcentral lists this ribosomal RNA (672 nucleotides) under Triticum aestivum (bread wheat). RNAcentral describes it as "partial small subunit ribosomal RNA". Lineage: Eukaryota; Viridiplantae; Streptophyta; Magnoliopsida; Poales; Poaceae. The record is from RNAcentral.
AUGCAGUUCCCCCCGUCGCCCGCGCGCUCCAUGGCCGCGCCCGCGGCCGUGCCCGCCGUGUCCUGCCUGCGCCUCCUCCUCCUCCCCGGGUUCAGCGCCUCCCUCCUCGCGAGCCGCGGCCGCGCCCGCGGGGUGGCGGUGAGGUCGGGCGCGGCCCCGCCCGACCCGGCGGCCAUGCUGCGCCGGCCGGCCGCCGCCACGACGGCCGCGGAGGAGCGGGAGGCCGACGCGGACGCCUCGCUGGGCUCUCCGGUGGACGACGAGCCGCCCGAGGAGGGGAGGAGGAGGGGGCCCGAGAGGGAGUGGGUGGACUGGGAGGACCUCAUCCUCGAGGACACCGUGCCGCUCGUCGGCUUCGUGCGGAUGAUACUCCACUCCGGCAAGUACUCAAGUGGUGAGCGGUUGAGUCCUGAACAUGAAAAGGCCAUACUUGAACGAUUGCUUCCAUAUCAUCCACAAUAUAAGAAGAAAAUUGGAUGUGGUAUCGACUACAUCACGCUAGGGUUGCAUCCAGAAUUCGAGAACUCAAGGUGUUUGUUCAUAGUUAGGACGGACGGCGAGCAGGUCGAUUUUUCUUUCUGGAAGUGCAUCAAGGGUCUCAUAAGACAAAAGUACCCCUUGUACGCAGACAGUUUCAUUCUCAGACAUUUCCGCAGGAGGCAGGACUACUGA